GACGAACGCUGGCGGCGUGCUUAACACAUGCAAGUCGAACGGAAAGGCCCUGCUUUUGUGGGGUGCUCGAGUGGCGAACGGGUGAGUAACACGUGAGUAACCUGCCCUUGACUUUGGGAUAACUUCAGGAAACUGGGGCUAAUACCGGAUAGGAGCUCCUGCUGCAUGGUGGGGGUUGGAAAGUUUCGGCGGUUGGGGAUGGACUCGCGGCUUAUCAGCUUGUUGGUGGGGUAGUGGCUUACCAAGGCUUUGACGGGUAGCCGGCCUGAGAGGGUGACCGGCCACAUUGGGACUGAGAUACGGCCCAGACUCCUACGGGAGGCAGCAGUGGGGAAUAUUGCACAAUGGGCGGAAGCCUGAUGCAGCAACGCCGCGUGCGGGAUGACGGCCUUCGGGUUGUAAACCGCUUUCGCCUGUGACGAAGCGUGAGUGACGGUAAUGGGUAAAGAAGCACCGGCUAACUACGUGCCAGCAGCCGCGGUGAUACGUAGGGUGCGAGCGUUGUCCGGAUUUAUUGGGGCGUAAGGGCUCGUAGGUGGUUGAUCGCGUCGGAAGUGUAAUCUUGGGGCUUAACCCUGAGCGUGCUUUCGAUACGGGUUGACUUGAGGAAGGUAGGGGAGAAUGGAAUUCCCGGUGGAGCGGUGGAAUGCGCAGAUAUCAGGAGGAACACCAGUGGCGAAGGCGGUUCUCUGGGCCUUUCCUGACGCUGAGGAGCGAAAGCGUGGGGAGCGAACAGGCUUAGAUACCCUGGUAGUCCACGCUGUAAACGGUGGGUACUAGGUGUGGGGUCCAUUCCACGGGUUCCGUGCCGUAGCUAACGCUUUAAGUACCCCGCCUGGGGAGUACGGCCGCAAGGCUAAAACUCAAAGGAAUUGACGGGGCCCCGCACAAGCGGCGGAGCAUGCGGAUUAAUUCGAUGCAACGCGUAGAACCUUACCUGGGUUUGACAUGGAUCGGGAGUGCUCAGAGAUGGGUGUGCCUCUUUUGGGGUCGGUUCACAGGUGGUGCAUGGCUGUCGUCAGCUCGUGUCGUGAGAUGUUGGGUUAAGUCCCGCAACGAGCGCAACCCUUGUUCACUGUUGCCAGCACGUUAUGGUGGGGACUCAGUGGAGACCGCCGGGGUCAACUCGGAGGAAGGUGGGGAUGACGUCAAGUCAUCAUGCCCCUUAUGUCCAGGGCUUCACGCAUGCUACAAUGGCUGGUACAGAGAGUGGCGAGCCUGUGAGGGUGAGCGAAUCUCGGAAAGCCGGUCUCAGUUCGGAUUGGGGUCUGCAACUCGACCUCAUGAAGUCGGAGUCGCUAGUAAUCGCAGAUCAGCAACGCUGCGGUGAAUACGUUCCCGGGGCU
RNAcentral lists this ribosomal RNA (1346 nucleotides) under uncultured bacterium. RNAcentral's name for it is "partial 16S ribosomal RNA". It matches the Rfam family "Bacterial small subunit ribosomal RNA", at positions 28 to 1381 of the family's 1533-position model. The record is from RNAcentral.